UCUACAGUUUUACAGGUUGUCUAUGAAAGU
This 30-nucleotide non-coding RNA is filed under the name Rattus norvegicus (Norway rat). The record is from RNAcentral. Lineage: Eukaryota; Metazoa; Chordata; Mammalia; Rodentia; Muridae.